This 256-nucleotide long non-coding RNA is filed under the name Phaseolus vulgaris (common bean). RNAcentral describes it as "long non-coding RNA (PVUL_LNC000316)". Lineage: Eukaryota; Viridiplantae; Streptophyta; Magnoliopsida; Fabales; Fabaceae. The record is from RNAcentral.
GGAUGUAGAUAUUUUACCCCAGAUAUGAAAAUGCCCACAACUAUAUUCCGCACACAAAUAUCUAGAAUCCAUUCACACCCUUCCGAAUGAAACCAUCGCAGUCCACAACUACUACCUUCCGCGUACAAACAUCUGAAAGUGAUUUAAACACUUCUGGAUCAACGCAGCAAACAACUUGAUUCCGCACAACAAUAUCCAGAAGUCACAAAAUGAUUUCCGCCUAAAAAUGUCCGCAACGCAACGCACACGCAUACCU